Molecule: unclassified non-coding RNA, 347 nt
Filed under: plant metagenome
Description: partial contains small subunit ribosomal RNA, internal transcribed spacer 1, and 5.8S ribosomal RNA
Source: RNAcentral
UUUCCGUAGGUGAACCUGCGGAAGGAUCAUCAAUAAAUCCAAAUUAUUCACCCUUGUGAACUGUGUGCUGGAGUCGAUGCGUUUCGCUCGAUUCUCAUGGCGCUUUCAUGGUCGUAGAUUAGUUAAAGGUUUAACUGCUACGAGCUUGUUUUCGUUUAUUCAGAAUGGUGGCACUUUUCGAGAGAGUUCUCCCGAAGCGGUGCCAAUAUUUUGUUUGAGCCUGAAUUUGCUUGGUUAGAUUCCUUACUUUUCGGCGAUCCGCGUCUAGCAAAAAACUCCUAAAAUCAUACAAGCUAAAGCAAAACAUAAUAAUUAAACAACUUUCAACAAUGGAUCUCUUGGCUCUC